UGUGCCUUAUGAAUCAGUGGAAGAAAAAAAGUAUUAUAAAAACUCAUAGGUCUUACACUAUUUCAUAUGUGCUGUUUAUACAUUAAAUACCAUCAACAUGUUCAUUGGACAAUUGAGGCCGAGAUUUGUGGGAUAGAUAGUAAAAGUACUGGGCUUUGGAGUAAAGGGAGAGUAACCACACCAACCACGAGACUCUGACCUGAACUGAAAUCAAGAGUCCAAUGCUUAAUUGACUGAGCCACCCAGGCUCCCCAAGACAACAUUGUUUAAAUAGCAACUAACAAUUCUUCUUCUCUUACUUUUGUUUUUGUUUUGUUUUACUGGCAAAUAUCACAUUCUUUAGAAGUUUUAAAGAGUAUAGAGCUUACAUUCAUUGCAUUGUAUAUAUUAGGGCAGAAAGACC
Long non-coding RNA from Leopardus geoffroyi (Geoffroy's cat), 403 nucleotides. RefSeq lists it as uncharacterized. Lineage: Eukaryota; Metazoa; Chordata; Mammalia; Carnivora; Felidae. The transcript has 3 exons. The record is from RefSeq and is a predicted model, not a curated record.